UCAAUGGAAGGAGAGUGGUGAGAAGCGGAGAGGGCGGGAGACCUUUGGGUGGUGCGAAGAUGGCGUGGGAGGCGGUGAAAAAUAUGAACUUUUCCCAACUUUAUGCAAAUCACCAGCAGCGACCGCUGGGCGAUGACCAAUCAUAUCGAGAGAUUCCCAUGACGAAUUUGACACUAUGCGACCCAAGGCUGGAGACUUUCUUUCAGCAAAGAUGGCUGACAAAAAUACUAGGAUUGAAGCAAAUAUGGAUACUAUACCCUUUUCCCUACCCGUGGUGUUGGAAGAGGUUGUAUUGGGAGGAGGAUGCAUCAACACCCUGGAGAUAUGUUUGUGGUGCACUCACUCAUAACACUUUCUUUUAGUAACGAAUGAGUGUAAUGUCUUCAUGAUUGAUAAUAACCAAUCAGUUACAAGGCAAAAAUACAGAUUGAAGCCUUCAAUUAAACUGAGUGAGGACAGCGAAAAUAUGUAUACAUCAGACCAGUCAAGGCUUCUUCCAUGCAUGGGUUUGAGAUGUAAGUUACAUGCUAAAAAAUGCUGGGUUGUUUGGAUGACCCAAUUGCUGUGUGCUUUUCUAUAAAAACAGCAAGAUUGGGUUGCUGGUGCUGGGUUAUUAAGGUUGGGUUAUGGAUAUUUGACCCAGCCAGGGGGUUAAUUCCCCCGCCACCAGCCUGUGAAGUCCUCCAGAAUGUGAGCAAAUGGCGAGACGUGGCAACUUGCAAGACUUUUAGUGUGACUGAGUGGAAAACGGCUAACGUUAUUUUGACAGACUAAGGGUGUUUUGGCUGACAGAAAACCGUGAAAAUGGUAAGUAACAAACAUUCCGAAUUAUGAAUUUGAUGGUCAUUCAGGUUAAAUAUGUUGGUUGUCCUAUCAUCAUUUGGUAGCUAGCUAACGUUAGCUUAAGCGUUAACUAACGACCAUAAGCUAGCUAGCCAUUUUCUGUGCUAAUGUUCGCGACACUAGCUUACUGAAGUGUUGUUGCGGAAUACAGCACAGCUAAAUGUAUGUUUUUUUUGUCAACGUUUAGCUAGCUAGUUAACUUGGUCAGUGUCUAACGGUAGCUGGCUAAUUAUCUAACUAGUUAGCUGCAGCACCUUAACUAGCUAAGUUUGACACUUCUUCUGGACUGUCUUAGACACUGUUUCACUCGUUAGCUAACAUUAGUUAAGUUACCAUAUCUAGAUUUUACUUCUUAAUCAAGGUUAAUUUAAUCAAGCUAUUUGGCAGGUUGAUCUCAUGCUUGCAUGGUGAUUGAGUGAGUUACUGUACUGGUUUUCAAUGGUUUCUGACAGUGGCAGCUUUAGUCAGACGUGUGAGGUUGAGGAUGGAUGCAAAUUCUGUAAGCUAGCUGACGUUAGAGUUUACCGUAUGUUUGAUGUAGUCAACUUAGUAUAUCUAGCUAACUAUGUUUCUAACAUUAAUUCAUUUCUGUAAUGAAAUACAAACGUCAAGGCCAAUGGACAGCUUUGAAAAGGAUAUGAUGAAUGAGUGGAACCUGGCCUCUUUGAUUCCAAAGUUUGAGGAUAUUCUGUCACAGUGACCAACCUGACAUACAACACACACAUCACAGGCUGGGAGCAGCUGAUGGGCACUUAGGGGUAAAGUGCCUUGCUCAAGGGCACAACAGCAGUAUGUAGUAUACAGAGAUAUUGUAGCUGGUAACCCUCUGACUGCCGGAUCACUUGCUGCAGAUCUCCCUGCAGGAAGCUAGGGGUUCGAACCGAUAACUCGCCAGAAUCAACCUGCCUUUCUGGAAUCGGCCUGCCUUACUGUUUUAUUUCUCCUCAAUUUCAUGGUAUCCAAUUGGUAGUUAGUCCUGUCUCAUCGCUGCAACCCCCGUAAGGACUCGGGAGAGGCGAAGGUCGAGAGCCGAGCAUCCUCUGAAACACAACCCAGCCAAGCAGCACUGUUUUUUGACACAAUGCCUGCUUAACCCAGAAGCCAGCUGCACCAAUGUGUCGGAGGAAACACCGUACACCUAGCAACCGUGUCAGCGUGCAUUGCGCCCGGCACAGGAGUCGCUAGAGCGCGAUGGGACAAGAACAUCUCUGCCGGCCAAACCCUCCCCUAACCCGGACGGCGCUGGGCCAAUUGUGCCCCGCCCCAUGGGUCUUCCGGUCGCGGCCGGCUGCGACAGAGCCUGGACUCGAACCAGGAUCUCUAGUGGCACAGCUAGCACUGCGAUGCAGUGCCUUAGACCACUGCGCCACUCAGGAGGCCUGGCCUGCCUUGGAGGCUGUUUGUUAAUGCAAUAUUCACUCAUAAAUUGUGCAACAGUGUUUGAUUGGUUCUCUGAAAUUAGAAAAAAAUUGAGUUGAGAUUUUUGGGAUUUGAAAAUCCAACUUUUGUAAUAGUGGGCGGCGCUUGGGGUCUGGGUGUGGCAGUGCGUGUGCAGGGGCGAUUUUAGCAUGUAAAUCUUGGUGGGGCAAACUCCCCUCGAAAAUGUUAGAUGUAUGCCAGCAAAGCCACUACACAACACUAAACAAUACAUGAAUUGCACUACAACGGUGCCCACAAACUGUUAUGCCUAACAUAAAGCUGUCCCAACAACAGAGCUUUCUUUUCAGCACCAUGGAGUGAAUCCUUACAACCGCUACACCUGGCUAUCAGCAGAGCCUUGUCUGGGAGCAAAACAGUUAAUUCAGCCUCAUUUACUGCCUUUAACAAAGUCAAAGAGGUCUCUUUCAGAAAUAUCCAUAAGUAUUACCCUGAAGGAACCCAAAAUAGACAUGAACAGUAACUGUACAUUUUGUGUUGAGCAUCCAGAAACAGUUUUGUAUUCAUUUUGGCUUUGUCUACAUGCAAAGAAAUGAUGUCAAGAUAUUUAUAGUUUUAUAAUUGUUAAUAUUCUUGAUGACUUUUGUUUAUUAUGGGAGAAUGUGCUGCUCGGUUUCCUUAACUAUAAUAAGGAUAAAGAAAAACUAUUUUACAUCUUAAACCUCUUACAUCUAGAUGUUCCGCUAGCGGAACACCGCUCCAAUAUCCAAUGAUAGGGCAUGGCGCGAAUUACAAAUUCCUCAAAAAUCCAAAACCUUCCAUUUUUCAAACAUAUGACUAUUUUACACCAUUUUAAAGACAAGACUCUCCUUUAUCUAACCACAUUGUCCGAUUUCAAAAAGGCUUUACAACGAAAGCAAAACAUUAGAUUAUGUCAGGA
Molecule: non-coding RNA, 3160 nt
Organism: Salmo salar (Atlantic salmon)
Lineage: Eukaryota; Metazoa; Chordata; Actinopteri; Salmoniformes; Salmonidae
Source: RefSeq, a predicted model, not a curated record